GACGAACGCUGGCGGCGUGCUUAACACAUGCAAGUCGAACGCUGAAGACCUGGCUUUUGUUGGGUUGGAUGAGUGGCGAACGGGUGAGUAACACGUGAGUAACCUGCCCUCUUCUUUGGGAUAACGCCCGGAAACGGGUGCUAAUACUGGAUAUUCACUGAUCUUCGCAUGGGGGUUGGUGGAAAGGUUUGUUCUGGUGGGGGAUGGGCUCGCGGCCUAUCAGCUUGUUGGUGGGGUGAUGGCCUACCAAGGCUUUGACGGGUAGCCGGCCUGAGAGGGUGACCGGUCACAUUGGGACUGAGAUACGGCCCAGACUCCUACGGGAGGCAGCAGUGGGGAAUAUUGCACAAUGGGCGAAAGCCUGAUGCAGCGACGCCGCGUGAGGGAUGGAGGCCUUUGGGUUGUAAACCUCUUUCGCUCAUGGUCAAGCCGCAACUGUGGGUUGUGGUGAGGGUAGUGGGUAAAGAAGCGCCGGCUAACUACGUG
This 486-nucleotide ribosomal RNA is filed under the name uncultured bacterium. Its description in RNAcentral is "partial 16S ribosomal RNA". It matches the Rfam family "Bacterial small subunit ribosomal RNA", at positions 28 to 507 of the family's 1533-position model. The record is from RNAcentral.